AAUGACAACUAUCUCAUCACUUCAAACCAGAAAAUAUGAAAAUUCUUUAUAUUAAAAACAGCUAACAAAGUGAAGUGCUUCUUUCAUUCGACAUAAAAAUUCAUUCUUUAAGAAACUACAAUUUGGGGCACCUGGGUGGCUCAGUGGGUUAAAG
Long non-coding RNA from Lutra lutra (Eurasian river otter), 154 nucleotides. RefSeq lists it as uncharacterized. The transcript has 3 exons. The record is from RefSeq and is a predicted model, not a curated record. Lineage: Eukaryota; Metazoa; Chordata; Mammalia; Carnivora; Mustelidae.